AUGAGUGAUUGGAAACACACCUGCUCCCUUGAUUUAGGCCUCUGGGAAACAAGGGCAAGGGAGGUGUUGGAACACAAGGUGGAAAUGGGUGUGUUGGCGGUGGCUGAGGAAGUCGGGGCAGGAGGAGCCACUGUUUCUGGGAAUGAAUUCCUGAAACUUGCUGGUCCCACCAAGAUGCAAAUCUUGCGGCAGUUUUUACAGUUAUCCUGUGGAAGACGUGAGGAUCCCACUCCAAGCCCAGAGACAAGACCUGAAGGAUUGCUAAAGAAUGCCCUUGGUAACAACUGUUUCUCCAGGACCUUGUUUGGCUUCCCCCUGGCUGGGUGGAACCCGCUGUGUGCAGCCUUCGCAGGGAGGUGGGCCGAAGGCUGCCAGCGUUGGAGCAGGUUUCCCCCACUGGACUUUACCUCCAGAUGCCCAGGACAUGGGACAUCAUGCAAAGACCUAGCACGUGGAGAUGUUGACGUUGCAACAAAGAGAACCACUCAAAGAGAAUCGCUCUGUGAGAACCAAUGUUCUAGAGUUUAGGAAGACCAUCAAUUGGGGUAAAUGAGCCAAUUCCCAGAAGGAAAGGGGAAGGACCUUUUCUGAGGCAUGAUCUGAAUUUCCUGGGCUGAUGUUGCCCUUUGUUAUUUCCACAGGGGAUCUUCGUUUUCAAUCGCUCACCUGGGGAGCCGCCAGAUUCUGGCCAAUCUCGGCUUUUUUCCCUCUCACUGUGGGUUCUUCAGAGCCCCAUGGUUUAGACAUAACAGUGGAUUCUCUUGUGCCCCAAUUACCACAUGCGUCAUGGGGAGAAGAGCUUGAACCCCCCAGAGGGUCAGGUCCAGGUGAGAAUUGAGGGUGACACUGAGAGAAUUUAGCUAGGUGGGCGCUGUGUACCGCAUCAUUGCCUGCUCCUUUCGCGGUUUUGCAUUUAUGUGUUGUACAGCUACGUGUCUCAACCUAGAAGGAUCUCCAGGAUGUAUCCUUGGGUGGAAAAAUUUAGAUACUAGAAUCUAGGCCGGGCGCGGUGGCUCACGCCUGUAAUCCCAGCACUUUGGGAGGCUGAGGUGAGUGGAUCAUGAGGUCAGGAGAUCGAGACCAUCCUGGCUAACACGGUGAAACCCCAUCUGUACUAAAAAUACAAAAAUUAGCUGGGCACAGUGGCAUGCACUCGUAGUCCUAGCUACUCGGGAGGCUGAGCCAGGAGAAUCGCUUGUACCCGGGAGGCGGAGGUUGCAGUGAGCCGAGACUGCGCCAUUGCACUCCAGCCUGGGCGACAGAGUGAGACUCCNNNNNNNNNNNNNNNNNNNNGAGAAUCGCUUGAACCCAGGAGGUGGAGGUUGCAGUAAGCCAGGAUUGCACCACUGCUCUCCAGCCUGGAUGACAGAGCAAGACUGUCUCAAAUAAAUAAAUAAAUAAAUAAAUAUAAAAAUUAAAAAAAUUUUAAAAAAGAAAUCUAUAUUGAGUUUUGUACCUACCUAUGAUUCAUGGAUACCUACCAGGGAAAAAGCAGAAUAAAAACAUGCACAGAAGGAAAUAUUCCAAAUUGUGCUUGCCUGGGUGGUAACUUGCUAUAAUGUUUUACUUCUGUAAUGGGAGGGAGUACACAUGUGGCUAUUCUAUUCUUCCUCCCAUGUUUUCAUAUCUGAAAUAUUUCAUA
Pan paniscus (pygmy chimpanzee) is the source of this 1642-nucleotide long non-coding RNA. Lineage: Eukaryota; Metazoa; Chordata; Mammalia; Primates; Hominidae. The record is from Ensembl.